AUUGAACGCUGGCGGGAUGCCUUACACAUGCAAGUCGAACGAGUGGCGUACGGGUGAGAAAUGUCUGGGAAACUGCCCGAUGGCGGGGGAUAACUACUGGACAGAGUGGCUAAUACCGCAUACCCUCGGAGCUGCCUAUAUGGGAUUAGCUAGUAGGUGGGGUAAAGGCUCACCUAGGCGACGAUCCCUAGCUGGUUUGAGAGGAUGAACAUCCACACUGGGACUGAGACACGGCCCAGACUCCUACGGGAGGCAGCAGUGGGGAAUAUUGCACAAUGGGCGAAAGCCUGAUGCAGCCAUGCCGCGUGUAUGAAGAAGGCCUUCGGGUUGUAAAGUACUUUCAGCAGGGAGGCGGUACCUGCAGAAGAAGCACCGGCUAACUCCGUGCCAGCAGCCGCGGUAAUAC
This 406-nucleotide ribosomal RNA is filed under the name uncultured bacterium. RNAcentral's name for it is "partial 16S ribosomal RNA". It matches the Rfam family "Bacterial small subunit ribosomal RNA", at positions 30 to 526 of the family's 1533-position model. The record is from RNAcentral.